RNAcentral lists this long non-coding RNA (1776 nucleotides) under Oryzias sinensis (Chinese medaka). RNAcentral describes it as "lncRNA (ENSOSIG00000000298.1)". Lineage: Eukaryota; Metazoa; Chordata; Actinopteri; Beloniformes; Adrianichthyidae. The record is from RNAcentral.
AUGGUCAAGAAGGCUCACGAGCAGCUGCAGCAAAAUGCUGAUGAGGCCAUGAGGAUAAACCGAAAACUGACGUUUGCCAACCAAAAACAAGAGGCAACGAUUAUGUCUCUGAAAAAGGAGCUGGACGAGGUCAAUAACAAGCUUAUUAAGGUCAAGAUGACGUCAGUCCGCUAUGAGAAGACCCACAGUCAAGCAGAGGGACAGCAGCAAGUGCAGGAGCUGCAGCAGAGGCUCAUCAUGGUAAAACCCUCCAUAAAAUCAAACAUUUCAAACCCCAAACCAAAGUUGAAGACAAAAUGUGCUUCCUCUUUUUUUUCAAGGAAAAAGAAAUAAACAGAAAACUUGAGAAGGAAAAUUUAGCAGAAAGGGCAGAAAAGCAGGUAAGAAACUCAAAAAACAUAACUUUAUUCUCUUUAAGAAUUAUAGUUGAAUUUAGGAUUCAAUGGACUUUAAAGUUUCUGAGUGAAUCAUUUAAAAACCCACUCGGUUGAAAAUGGUGUUUUUGGUUUUUUUAACAUGUUCUCGUGUUGUUUUUCUGGUGAUGGAGAACAAAUAUAAAGAUAAUGAAGUCCAAAAGUGCCUUUUAUUUUAAUCGUUGAGAAUCAGGAGCAGGCAUCUGAAUCUAAACUGUACGACUAAAUAGCUCCAAUGUUGCUCUCUAUUGUUAUUGAACUGGUAAUGUUAGGUUGGGGGUGUGAGGGGCUUUAAGCUAGCGGGUGGGAGAGUAACGGGGAGGGAAAGGAAGGUGGGGUUGCUCUGCGCCAACGGGCCGCCCAAAACUCAGAGAUGAAUUUCUAAUCAUCUGCUGCCGCUCUACAGAAGGUAUGUCCUAGAAAACGGUGAAGGUUUUUGGGGAUUUAGGGUAAAAGUGGCCUCAAUAUAAACAAACAACCACUGAGAAUGUGUUUAAAAAAGCUUAAAAGAUGAGCGGAGGGGGUCUUUGAACCAAUUUCAACUAUUUUGUCUGUUCAUUUGUACAGGAGAUGCUGAGGUCUCUGCAGCGAACACAGGAGCUGCUGCUACGGCAAACACAGACAGUGAGAAGAGUAGAAAUGGAGCUACAGACACAAACGGAGAGGUUCCAGGUCAGAAGAUUUGCUCAAGGGCACCACAGUAAAGUACAGCCCCUCAAUUUUACUUUAAAACAGAAGGACAAAGGGUAACCUAAAAAGUAAAGGUCGAAUUUUUUUUUAGACUAAAUGUGUGUUUUCAGUAUUUUGUAUUUAUAAUUUACAUGUAAAUUAUAAUUGCAUAACUGUUGACACAUAAAUGUAACCUUUUAAACUACUGUACCUCAUCACUUACACUUGACUGGUGUCUCGUCCUUAUUGUUUGUUUAAAUUAUGAUUAUCUUACAUUUGAAUUCUUUAAGGGUACACAGCACUGACAUGAAUACCUUUAAAUAAUGAUUACAUAUCUACAAAAAACAAUAAAUACAUGUCUGUUGUUCAUGAAUAUGGAGUUGUAUAUCACAACAUUCACAUUUGUAACAACAGGCCUUUCCCCCCGCUGAAUGGGGGCCUGGGUGCUCCUUUGUUUACGGCCUUGCACUUUAUUGUUCUCUUUUCUGCUCGGCCUCCUUUCUCAUUUUAAUUCUCACAUUCAUUCAUUUAUUAACAUCAUUAUCAAAAUGACACAAGCCAGCUGAUUUGUAUAAGCAAGAAGUCCUCUUUCUCCCUUCCCUGUUUCAGAGCCUUUUGUUCCUGUUAAAUAAACGUAUUAAAAAAUUUAGUAUUGCAUUCAAAUCCUACGGGUAAUUAAUUUUACUGCAGGCCC